UACGGGGGGGGCAAGCGUUGUUCGGAAUUACUGGGCGUAAAGGGCUCGUAGGCGGCCAACUAAGUCAGACGUGAAAUCCCCAGGCUCAACCUGGGAACUGCGUCUGAUACUGGAUGGCUUGAAUUCGGGAGAGGGAUGCAGAAUUCCAGGUGUAGCGGUGAAAUGCGUAGAUGUCUGGAGGAAUACCGGUGGCGAAGGCGGCAUCCUGGACCGACAUUGACGCUGAGGAGCGAAAGCCAGGGGAGCAAACGGG
This 253-nucleotide ribosomal RNA is filed under the name uncultured bacterium. Its description in RNAcentral is "partial 16S ribosomal RNA". It matches the Rfam family "Bacterial small subunit ribosomal RNA", at positions 524 to 776 of the family's 1533-position model. The record is from RNAcentral.